GUGGAAUUAAUUAGGCGGACGCUUAUCGGUUGCAAAGCAAGAUUAUUUACUCACGCCGUCAAGGUGGUGAAAGACAGAGGUCAGAUAUACUUAGUUACAGCUUAGAGUUCAUUCGGUCGUUCUGCAGACAUAUAUACGGGCCGGCGGUUUUAUCGGGCAUGCGGGUCAAGGGUACGCCAGGGAGGUCGUGGCGGGAAGACGCUGACAACUGAUCAAAUUGUCAGAUUUACUCCAAGGCCUGGAGGGGAUGAAGCAGGGAGAGGGAACCUGCCCACUGCCACUACUGCUGCCACUGUCUUGGCCUGAGCCCAGCUUUCUUGCUGCCUGGCUGGAGUGGCCCUGGAGCUCUCCUUGCCCUUGGAACAGCGAGCACUCCAGCUGGGACUUUUGUUUCCAGUUUUGAGCGCUGCACUUCAAAAAAGUUCUGGAUGAAUUACAGAGUCUGGAGGAGAGCAAUAAAAAAUGGUCAGAGAGCUAGAAAUUAAGAACUGUGCAGACCUGCAUUAUAUCUCUGGCAUCACCAACAACUUAAAAGAAAAAUUUUAUUCCAUCGUACUCUAAAUAUAGAUUUACAACCUUCAUUCUUCUAAAAAGCAACAGUAAUUAAAGAGACAGCUUCAGCGAUUUCAGUGUUUCUGUUGCAGUAAAUGUUUUUUAAGGUCUCCCUGUCUGUCCCUGUGAAGAAAAGUACCUGAGAUUUAAGUCUGCUUUCAAAUAAGUUUCCAUGUGUGUAUGCACUUGGGGAUCUGUAAGUUUGAAGAAUAAUAACUAACUGAUGACUUAUUACUUUUAAUUCCUAUUAGUUGAGUUAAAAGAGAUUGAGCUGGAUUUUAUUCUUCUUAUGCAUUAUAAAUAA
Alligator sinensis (Chinese alligator) is the source of this 856-nucleotide long non-coding RNA. RefSeq lists it as uncharacterized. The record is from RefSeq and is a predicted model, not a curated record. Lineage: Eukaryota; Metazoa; Chordata; Crocodylia; Alligatoridae. The transcript is spliced from 4 exons.